CGGAGUUCAGUCUUCCCAGGCCCACCACUUUCAUCGAGUGAGCAUUCGUCUUCUGGUUACGGGGCCAUAGCUGAGCUGGGAGAGCGCGUGCUUUGCAAGCAUGAGGUCGUCGGUUCGAUCCCGUCUGGCUCCACCAGAUGGUUUGAUCACCUGCGACUGACCGUCGUCCGCGAAACAUCACUUCGCAUUCACUAGUCUGGAUAGACAGUGAACUGCGUGUUUUCUGACAUCGUAAAGAGGAGAUCGAUCCGAGUUGGGUCGUGCAGCAGAUUGUUGCGCGGAUCCUUCAUUAUCUCCGGAUCAUUUUCGGCGCUCGCUUUCAGCCGUGAGGCUGAACGCGAGUUGUAAAAUGAUCCUUUUAGCGAAGCUUGACCGCCUCGCUAUCGGAACGAUCUUAAGAAGCAAGCUGGUCUUUCUAGUCAAUGUCCGGCUGUGAGAAUAGCGCUCGUCGAGGGCGCGUGCCGCAAGGCGGUUCUUACAGGCAGCAUUCUGCCGAGUGUGUGGACAUUGAUAAUGAGAGCAAUCAAGUGCCUUAAGGGUGUUCGGUGGAUGCCUUGGCGCUGAGAGGCGAUGAAGGACGUGCUACGCUGCGAUAAGCCGUGGGGAGCUGCGAAGAAGCUUUGAUCCGCGGAUUUCCGAAUGGGAAAAACCC
Molecule: unclassified non-coding RNA, 652 nt
Filed under: uncultured Bradyrhizobium sp.
Lineage: Bacteria; Pseudomonadati; Pseudomonadota; Alphaproteobacteria; Hyphomicrobiales; Nitrobacteraceae
Description: partial 16S-23S ribosomal RNA intergenic spacer
Rfam family: Bacterial large subunit ribosomal RNA (bases 522-652)
Source: RNAcentral